RNAcentral lists this ribosomal RNA (492 nucleotides) under uncultured bacterium. Its description in RNAcentral is "partial 16S ribosomal RNA". It matches the Rfam family "Bacterial small subunit ribosomal RNA", at positions 29 to 507 of the family's 1533-position model. The record is from RNAcentral.
AGCGAACGCUGGCGGCAGGCCUAACACAUGCAAGUCGAACGGCAGCACAGUAAGUGCUUGCUCUUACGGGUGGCGAGUGGCGGACGGGUGAGGAAUAUAUCGGAAUCUACUUUUUCGUGGGGGAUAACGUAGGGAAACUUACGCUAAUACCGCAUACGACCUACGGGUGAAAGCAGGGGAUCUUCGGACCUUGCGCGAUUGAACGAGCCGAUGUCGGAUUAGCUAGUUGGCGGGGUAAAGGCCCACCAAGUGGACGAUCCGUAGCUGGUAUGAGAGGAUGGUAGGCCACCCGGGAACUGAGACGGGCUCCAGACUCCUACGGGAGGGAGCAGUCGGCAAUAUUGGGCAAUGGGCGGAAGCCUUAUCCAAUCAUACGGCGGCGGUGGAGAAGGCGUUAGGGUUGUGAAGCCCUUUUGUUGGGAGAGAAAAGCAGCAGGUUGAUACCCCGCGGUACUGACGGUACCCAAAGAAUAAGCACCGGCUAACUUCGUG